RNAcentral lists this long non-coding RNA (243 nucleotides) under Gallus gallus (chicken). Lineage: Eukaryota; Metazoa; Chordata; Aves; Galliformes; Phasianidae. The record is from RNAcentral.
UCAUCCUUCUUUCUGUCCACCAGCAGCUACGUAUUAUGAUCUCGCAGUGCUUCUGCCACUCAACAGGUCGUGUCCUCACUUCUUUUGGACUUUUGUACAGGGAAUAUGCAGUGGCACGUUCCAGAGAUGUGCAUUCUUCUUUGUAACACGUCUCCUUUGAAGCAGGAAGAAGAUCUUUUAAACAUCUAUUAAAUUGCCUUCACUGUUUCUACUUUGUCUGAAAUGAAGAAAAUUAUCCAAGCG